UUUCCGUAGGUGAACCUGCGGAAGGAUCAUUCAUAAUAAAGUGUUUUAUGGCACUUUUUAAAAAUCCAUAUCCACCUGGUGUGCAAUGUUAGAUCUCGUCAAUCUUGGCGAGAUUUUUAUACAUCAACUCAUUCUUUAACUAAUUUGUCUGAAAAAUAUUAUGAAUACUUAAUUCAAAAUACAACUUUCAACAACGGAUCUCUUGGCUCUC
This 211-nucleotide unclassified non-coding RNA is filed under the name plant metagenome. Its description in RNAcentral is "partial contains small subunit ribosomal RNA, internal transcribed spacer 1, and 5.8S ribosomal RNA". The record is from RNAcentral.